Molecule: long non-coding RNA, 272 nt
Organism: Drosophila innubila
Lineage: Eukaryota; Metazoa; Arthropoda; Insecta; Diptera; Drosophilidae
Exons: 2
Source: RefSeq, a predicted model, not a curated record
GUUGAGGCGAUUGUUCGGCCCGGAACGCUUUCGGAUCGUGGCAGAAACAAGUUUUCUAUAUAGCCUAUAUAGCGCAUUCUGGAUUCAUGAUUCUGCGAAACAAUUAGUAUUAUGCUAAGUAUCUAAAUUGUAUGAUAAUGAGCUGCUUCCGCCUUGCUGAACUGAAUCCACAACAACCAAAAAAAAGCAACGUUUAGUCGUGGGAGCACUAUGUAAAUUUCUCUUGAUUGAUAAAGAAUUGCAGAGCAGCUGGGCAAAAAUUACACAAAAUA